AUUGAACGCUGGCGGCGUGCCUAACACAUGCAAGUCGAACGCGAAAGUUUCUUCGGAAAUGAGUAGAGUGGCGCACGGGUGAGUAACGCGUGGAUUAUCUACCUACUGGUACGGGACAACAGUUGGAAACGACUGCUAAUACCGUAUACGCUGGUAACGGGAAAGGGGGCCUCUUCUUGAAAGCUCUCGCCAGUAGAUGAGUCCGCGUUUCAUUAGCUAGACGGUGGGGUAACGCCUACCGUGGCAACGAUGAAUAGCAGGCCUGAGAGGGUGGCCUGCCACACUGGGACUGGAACACGGCCCAGACUCCUACGGGAGGCAGCAGUGGGGAAUAUUGCGCAAUGGACGAAAGUCUGACGCAGCGACGCCGCGUGGAGGAUGAAGGUUUUCGGAUCGUAAACUCCUGUCAAGAGGGAAGAAACCUAUCAUAAAUAAUACUUAUGGUAAUUGACGGUACCUCUAGAGGAAGCACCGGCUAAUUCAGUGCCAGCCGCCGCGGUAA
RNAcentral lists this ribosomal RNA (502 nucleotides) under uncultured bacterium. RNAcentral's name for it is "bacterial SSU rRNA". It matches the Rfam family "Bacterial small subunit ribosomal RNA", at positions 30 to 523 of the family's 1533-position model. The record is from RNAcentral.